Molecule: long non-coding RNA, 223 nt
Organism: Pipistrellus kuhlii (Kuhl's pipistrelle)
Lineage: Eukaryota; Metazoa; Chordata; Mammalia; Chiroptera; Vespertilionidae
Exons: 3
Source: RefSeq, a predicted model, not a curated record
UCGGCAAGCUCAUUCAUCCACAGAGCCAAGUGUCAGCAGCACAGCGACGGACAUGUCUCUGGAGAGCCACAUUUUUUAAACGUAAACGUCUUCGAACGCCACGUCUUCCACACAGACGCGCCCGGGCCGUGGUGUUCUGUGGAAGAGCCGCCCUCCGGGGGCCCGAGAGCCGCCUGUGGCUCGCGCGCCGCGGUUUGCCGACCGCGGGGGCGUCCGGCCACCG